This 486-nucleotide ribosomal RNA is filed under the name uncultured bacterium. RNAcentral describes it as "partial 16S ribosomal RNA". It matches the Rfam family "Bacterial small subunit ribosomal RNA", at positions 28 to 507 of the family's 1533-position model. The record is from RNAcentral.
GAUGAACGCUGGCGGCGUGCCUAAUACAUGCAAGUCGAACGCUGGAGAUCUAGCUUGCUAGAUCGAAGGAGUGGCGAACGGGUGAGUAAUACAUAAGCAACCUACCCACGAAGACUGGGAUAAUCUCUGGAAACGGGGACUAAUACCGGAUAGGUAAUCGGAAGGCAUCUUCUGGUUAUUAAAGGUUAAAAACACUGGUGGAUGGGCUUAUGGCGCAUUAGUUAGUUGGUGAGGUAACGGCCCACCAAGACGAUGAUGCGUAGCCGGCCUGAGAGGGUGAACGGCCACAUUGGGACUGAGACACGGCCCAGACUCCUACGGGAGGCAGCAGUAGGGAAUUUUCGGCAAUGGGGGCAACCCUGACCGAGCAACGCCGCGUGAGUGAAGACGGCCUUCGGGUUGUAAAGCUCUGUUGUAAGGGAAGAACGGUAGAUAGAGAAUAUCUAAGUGGCGGUACCUUACCAGAAAGCCACGGCUAACUACGUG